RNAcentral lists this ribosomal RNA (576 nucleotides) under Triticum aestivum (bread wheat). RNAcentral's name for it is "partial small subunit ribosomal RNA". Lineage: Eukaryota; Viridiplantae; Streptophyta; Magnoliopsida; Poales; Poaceae. The record is from RNAcentral.
AUGGUGCUCUACACAAUCAACUCCCAUGCCCAAAUCCAAGACCUGCAGGCCCACUCCGAUGAGCUGGGCCACUCCAAUAAUCCCAUGCUUGUGAAGCUUGUCUCUCUGGAGUCGGUGCGCAUAGCGCGCGAGUCGUAUGCACUCCUCCGCCCGCUGAUCAUGGACGUGAUGUUCUGGCCAUGCCCGGAGAUGGAAAUCCUCUUGGUCGUGGCAGGCUUGUCGCUGGAAAUCCAAAUGCUCGAGCGUGAUGUGUUACCCAAGCUCAUGGUUCAGGAGGCCAAGCUGGAACGGGGCGCCCUGCAAGCCCUCCUACUCAUGAAGAACUCAGCAAUUGCGCUCUCACAUCUGAGGAAGUGCUUUAAGUUAGCCUUGGGCGUAUUGGCCGAGGAGGAUCUGGUCUCACCCCGAGUCGAAAAGCUGAGCAUAAUGCUAGAGGAUACUGCUGUUCAUGUACUUGAAGGUAAUUGCAACAUGCUUCAGGAGUCUGUCCCGUUGCUGGUCCAGCAGGUCACCCAUGUGUUGGAGACCCCGGUUUGUUUCUCUGAUCCUGAUGAGUGGAAGAGUGAUGAUGAGUAG